GUAACCUUUGAACACUUUUUGCUUUUCAUUAUAUCAAUGAGAUGCUUUUGUUGUUAAAAAAAAAAAAAAAAAAAAACGGAUGUAGGUUCCUGCCAACUAACUUCAAUUGGUAUCCAAUCUCUCCCCAAAAAGCUAAAUAUCUUGAAAAAGCUUUUGUAGAGCAGAAAUUUGUUAGGCUAUGGGGACAAACAAAAUGGGGCCAGAUGGUUUUACCGUUGAAUUCCAUAAGAAGUCUUGGAACGUCCUUUAACCUGAAAUAAUGAGUAUUCCAAGAUUUUCAAGAAUUGUAUCAUCAAUGCUAGGUUGAGCGAGACCUAUAUUUUCCUCAUUCCAAAGAAAUCGGAUGCUAGAAAUGUGGGAGACUACCACCCAAUUACCCGCAUAUCAUGUAUGUACAAGAUCAUUGCUAGGAUUCUCUCUUAAAGGCUUAAGAAGGCAAUUCCUUAUACUAUCACUGAACAACAAUCAGCUUUUGUGUCUAGUAGACAAAUACUUGAUGCCUGUUUAAUAGCCAAUGAGCUCAUUGAUGAUUGGAAAUGGAAAAAGAAGCAAGGGCUGGUCAUAAAACUGGACGUCGAAAAAGCCUUUUAUAAGGUGAAUUUGGGAUGUUCUUGAAGAAAUUUUUGUGGGUAAUGGCUUUGGUCCAACGUGGAGGAAAUGGAUUUGGGGUUGUUAUCCUCUCCUAAUUUUUCAAUCAUCAUCAACAACCGUUUGAGAGGAAAGAUCCUGGCUACUGGAGGCCUCCAUCAAGCUAUUUGACGUAGCAUCAUGGCUUGAUGUUAGGUGGAAAGAAAGUUCCUCUCAUGGAAAAACGAUCAUAUCUCAAAGGGUGGAAGACUGCAACUCUUGCCAAUCUUCCGUCCAACUUAUUAUAUGGCCAUCUAUAGAAUGCCAACCAAAGUGAGUAACAUUAUGGAUCAAUUGCCCAUAAAUUUCCUCUGGAAAGUUAACAAUGAUGGCAAGGGUCUUCAUCUUGUCAAAUGGGAUAAUCUCCUUCACCCCUUGGAGAAAGGAGAGCUUGGUUUACACAAAUUGAAAGAUCGAAAUGGAGCCCUUGUUGUAAAAUGGAUUUGGUGUUACAAUGUGAGAAAACAGCUCUUUAGAGGAAGGUCAUUGAUACAAAAUACGGGACUACCCUUCUCAACAAAAAAUCGGGCAGCAACUCCUUGGAACAGCCAAGGGUCCAUUGAAAGCCAUUAUGAAACAUUUCUAUCUGAUUCACGACAGAUUAUCCUACAAUGGGUGAUGGGGCAAAUAUUCCCUUCUUGCAGGACAUAUGAAUUGGAAAUGACUCUUGCAAGAAAAUUUCCCUUGAUUUUUUUUUUUUUUUUCUCUUAGUAAAGAUGGGGCUAUCAAGGAUUUCUGGAACACAGAGUUUGGCUUUUGGAACUUGAGAUUGAGAUGAAACCAGAGACAGAAAUUGACGAAUUUGGGCCUACUUCUUACACUGCCUGUCCACUGUUUCCUUAUUUCACAGUUCUGAUAUAGGAAUUUGGAACCUAGAGACAAAUAGUGUCUUGUCCAACAGCUCUCUCUUGCGUGAUAUAGCCCCCUCCAAUACAGAAACUGAAUUUUCUCUUUAUGAUUAGAUUAGGAAAGGACACUACCCAGAAAAUAUCAUUUUUCCCAUGGGAGCUAUCUCACAAAGCUAUUAAUAUACUCUUGAAAAGUUAAAGAGAAGACUGCCUGAGAUGGGUUUGUCUCCACAAUGGUGCUUUAUACGCAAACAGAAAUCAGAAUCUCAAAGUCACCUCUUGGUGUCAUGUAAAUUUGCGAAGACCUUCGGAACUAUCUCCUCUCUUCAUUUAACUGGUAUGCGGACACUUCGGAAAAUCCCCAUGUCCUCCUCGCUUACACUCUUGGUGGGCAUCCCUUCAAAAAGGAGAAAAAAAGACGAUUUGGGAGAAUUAUAUAAGAGCCUUCUUCUGGAAUUUGUGGCCAAAAAGAAAUAGUAGAUCUUGAGAAAGAGCUUUCUUUUAUAGAUUUUUUUUAUGCUAUAGUUAAUACGGUUGUGAAUUGGUGUAAUGUUCUCCCUUAUUUCACCACUAUAGCUUUACCAUACUCCUUUGUAACUCCUUUGUGGGGUCUCCCUGCUUUUGUAAUUUUUAUACCAUCAAUGAAAUUGUUUUAGACAAAAAAAA
This is a long non-coding RNA of Cucurbita moschata (crookneck pumpkin), 2141 nucleotides long. RefSeq lists it as uncharacterized. The transcript is spliced from 2 exons. NCBI's taxonomy places the organism in Eukaryota, Viridiplantae, Streptophyta, Magnoliopsida, Cucurbitales, Cucurbitaceae. The record is from RefSeq and is a predicted model, not a curated record.